Molecule: ribosomal RNA, 235 nt
Filed under: uncultured bacterium
Lineage: Bacteria
Description: partial 16S ribosomal RNA
Rfam family: Bacterial small subunit ribosomal RNA
Source: RNAcentral
AAUCAACGCUGGCGGCGUGCCUCAGACAUGCAAGUCGAACGCGAAAGGCUCCUUCGGGGGCCGAGUAGAGUGGCGCACGGGUGAGUAACACGUAGGUAAUUUGCCUUUGGGUGGGGAAUAACUCAGGGAAACUUGAGCUAAUACCGCAUAAUGCAGCGGCUCGACAUCGAGACAGUUGUUAAAGACGGGGGAGUCGCAAGACCUCGCGCCUGAAGAGAAGCCUGCGGCAGAUUAG